RNAcentral lists this ribosomal RNA (407 nucleotides) under uncultured bacterium. RNAcentral describes it as "partial 16S ribosomal RNA". It matches the Rfam family "Bacterial small subunit ribosomal RNA", at positions 30 to 526 of the family's 1533-position model. The record is from RNAcentral.
AUUGAACGCUGGCGGCAGGCCUAACACAUGCAAGUCGAGCGGAGCGGCGGACGGGUGAGUAAUGCCUAGGAAUCUGCCUGGUAGUGGGGGAUAACGUCCGGAAACGGGCGCUAAUACCGAAUACUAACAGAUGAGCCUAGGUCGGAUUCGCUAGUUGGUGGGGUAAGGGCCUACAAAGGCGACGGUCCCUAGCUGGUCUGAGAGGAUGACCAGCCACACUGGAACUGAGACACGGUCCAGACUCCUACGGGAGGCAGCAGUGGGGAAUAUUGGACAAUGGGCGCAAGCCUGAUGCAGCCAUGCCGCGUGUAUGAAGAAGGCCUUCGGGUUGUAAAGUACUUUCAGCUGGGAGGCGUUACCCGCAGAAGAAGCACCGGCUAACUCCGUGCCAGCAGCCGCGGUAAUAC